Molecule: unclassified non-coding RNA, 386 nt
Filed under: uncultured cyanobacterium
Lineage: Bacteria; Bacillati; Cyanobacteriota
Description: partial contains 16S ribosomal RNA and 16S-23S ribosomal RNA intergenic spacer
Rfam family: Bacterial small subunit ribosomal RNA (bases 1-121)
Source: RNAcentral
GGCACGCCCGAAGUCGUUACUCCAACCCUUGUGGAGGAGGACGCCGAAGGUGGGGCUGAUGACUGGGGUGAAGUCGUAACAAGGUAGCCGUACCGGAAGGUGCGGCUGGAUCACCUCCUAACAGGGAGACAAAACUGAUCGUGAUGUCUGAGUGCUGAGCUGGCAUUGCCAGCAAGGCAAACUUUAAUCUUAGGCCAUGAUCCUGUCAUCUCUAGGUCGAUCGGUACCUCGAGUGGAGAGCGGAAGCAAAGAUAGCGCAAGCCAUCUGUACGACUGUCUCUCGAUUUCAGUUCCUAAACUUUGUCUAGGUCACCCCACAGAGCCCAACCGGUAAGAGGGAUGGGGAUCAGAGGAGGAUUCCUGGGCCAUUAGCUCAGGUGGUUAGA